RNAcentral lists this ribosomal RNA (1372 nucleotides) under uncultured bacterium. RNAcentral describes it as "bacterial SSU rRNA". It matches the Rfam family "Bacterial small subunit ribosomal RNA", at positions 28 to 1381 of the family's 1533-position model. The record is from RNAcentral.
GAUGAACGCUGGCGGCGUGCCUAAUACAUGCAAGUCGAGCGAACGGACGAGAAGCUUGCUUCUCUGAUGUUAGCGGCGGACGGGUGAGUAACACGUGGAUAACCUACCUAUAAGACUGGGAUAACUUCGGGAAACCGGAGCUAAUACCGGAUAAUAUUUUGAACCGCAUGGUUCAAAAGUGAAAGACGGUCUUGCUGUCACUUAUAGAUGGAUCCGCGCUGCAUUAGCUAGUUGGUAAGGUAACGGCUUACCAAGGCAACGAUGCAUAGCCGACCUGAGAGGGUGAUCGGCCACACUGGAACUGAGACACGGUCCAGACUCCUACGGGAGGCAGCAGUAGGGAAUCUUCCGCAAUGGGCGAAAGCCUGACGGAGCAACGCCGCGUGAGUGAUGAAGGUCUUCGGAUCGUAAAACUCUGUUAUUAGGGAAGAACAUAUGUGUAAGUAACUGUGCACAUCUUGACGGUACCUAAUCAGAAAGCCACGGCUAACUACGUGCCAGCAGCCGCGGUAAUACAUAGGUGGCAAGCGUUAUCCGGAAUUAUUGGGCGUAAAGCGCGCGUAGGCGGUUUUUUAAGUCUGAUGUGAAAGCCCACGGCUCAACCGUGGAGGGUCAUUGGAAACUGGAAAACUUGAGUGCAGAAGAGGAAAGUGGAAUUCCAUGUGUAGCGGUGAAAUGCGCAGAGAUAUGGAGGAACACCAGUGGCGAAGGCGACUUUCUGGUCUGUAACUGACGCUGAUGUGCGAAAGCGUGGGGAUCAAACAGGAUUAGAUACCCUGGUAGUCCACGCCGUAAACGAUGAGUGCUAAGUGUUAGGGGGUUUCCGCCCCUUAGUGCUGCAGCUAACGCAUUAAGCACUCCGCCUGGGGAGUACGACCGCAAGGUUGAAACUCAAAGGAAUUGACGGGGACCCGCACAAGCGGUGGAGCAUGUGGUUUAAUUCGAAGCAACGCGAAGAACCUUACCAAAUCUUGACAUCCUUUGACAACUCUAGAGAUAGAGCUUUCCCCUUCGGGGGACAAAGUGACAGGUGGUGCAUGGUUGUCGUCAGCUCGUGUCGUGAGAUGUUGGGUUAAGUCCCGCAACGAGCGCAACCCUUAAGCUUAGUUGCCAUCAUUAAGUUGGGCACUCUAAGUUGACUGCCGGUGACAAACCGGAGGAAGGUGGGGAUGACGUCAAAUCAUCAUGCCCCUUAUGAUUUGGGCUACACACGUGCUACAAUGGACAAUACAAAGGGCAGCGAAACCGCGAGGUCAAGCAAAUCCCAUAAAGUUGUUCUCAGUUCGGAUUGUAGUCUGCAACUCGACUACAUGAAGCUGGAAUCGCUAGUAAUCGUAGAUCAGCAUGCUACGGUGAAUACGUUCCCGGGUCU